This 491-nucleotide ribosomal RNA is filed under the name Platynereis dumerilii (Dumeril's clam worm). Its description in RNAcentral is "partial 16S ribosomal RNA". It matches the Rfam family "Bacterial large subunit ribosomal RNA", at positions 1921 to 2666 of the family's 2925-position model. The record is from RNAcentral. Lineage: Eukaryota; Metazoa; Annelida; Polychaeta; Phyllodocida; Nereididae.
UAUUCAACGGCCGCGGUAUCCUGACCGUGCAAAGGUAGCAUAAUCAUUUGCUUUUUAAUUGAAGGCUAGUAUGAAAGGACACACAAGGAUAAAGCUGUCUCACUUAAAUUAUCUAUAAACUGAUAUUCAGGUGAAGAAGCCUGAACUAUAAUAAAGGACAAGAAGACCCUAUAGAGCUUUACUGGCCAGAGCAUCCCACUUAAUACCAGUUUGGUUGGGACAACCAAAAGACAUUAUCACCUCUUUUUGCGAUAUUAAAAUACUCACCCAAUAAUGUAUAAAAAAUAGCUACCUUAGGGAUAACAGGCUAAUCCCAUUAGAGAGACCACAUUGACAAUGGGGGUUGGCACCUCGAUGUUGGCUUAGUGUUACUAUUAGGCGCAGCCGCCUAACCAGUUGGUUUGUUCAACCAUUAAAUCACUACAUGAGCUGAGUUCAGACCGGCGUAAGCCAGGUUAGAUUCUAUCCUUAUUAUCUAAAUAAAACAUAGU